UUUUUUUUUUUUCUUUACCUGGACUUAUACCUGUUUACCUGUCUACCUGUUCCUGCACCUACCUCUUGAUAUUUAAUGGACUGAGAAAAGAGCGAUAUCAGUCGUCUCAUCUGAGCCUUGGCACUACUCCAUGAACUGCUGCUGAGAUUUCUGCACAGCACAGAUGAUGGACCGGGGGAGACUUUUUGCAUUUUCGCCGGCACUCCCGCACUAAAAGAGACGCAACAGGAAACUGUUGAGUCAAGGGAUUUGUGAAGGACACAUUCUUGCUCCCUCAGCACUGAGAGGCCAUAAACAUAAUGAAGAUUUACAACUGAUGCUGCUGAUGGAUAUAUAUAAAACCAUCACUCUUCCACUGCCAAGACACAGAGCUCUCCUCCUUAGGGUACGGUUGAGUGAGAUGAUAGCUGUAUCUUGUACGCAGUGAUUUAUCUGGACCGAGCUGACAGCGUGAUAAUUGAUAAAGAAGCAAGCGGAGAGCACAGAGAUCAUCUGGUCUUUGCUUUUUCUUCUGGUGCACAAUGUCUUCCCAACCUUUUUUGUAGGAUGUACUCCUCACAGCUCAAGAAUCCCUUCAUCAACAGCACCAUUUAUUAUCCAAAUGUUUUCAUUUGAAUUAAUUUCUCACUUGUUAUUGAACUAUUAAUCAAAUAAAAACUGGUAUAAUAAUCAGGUGUAUGACCUAUAAAAGAUGGACGUUGUGUCUCCACUUCCUCCCACUGUACAA
Long non-coding RNA from Dicentrarchus labrax (European seabass), 727 nucleotides. RefSeq lists it as uncharacterized. Lineage: Eukaryota; Metazoa; Chordata; Actinopteri; Moronidae. The transcript is spliced from 3 exons. The record is from RefSeq and is a predicted model, not a curated record.